GCCUGGGUGGCUCAGUCGGUUAAGUGUCUGACUUUGGCUCAGGUCAUGAUCUUGCAAUUCGUGGGUUCAAACCCCGUAUUGGGCU
This 85-nucleotide transfer RNA is filed under the name Felis catus (domestic cat). It matches the Rfam family "tRNA". Rfam says of the family: Transfer RNA (tRNA) molecules are approximately 80 nucleotides in length. Their secondary structure includes four short double-helical elements and three loops (D, anti-codon, and T loops). RNAcentral also lists the same sequence under 1 other name. The record is from Rfam by way of RNAcentral. Lineage: Eukaryota; Metazoa; Chordata; Mammalia; Carnivora; Felidae.